Molecule: ribosomal RNA, 200 nt
Filed under: uncultured bacterium
Lineage: Bacteria
Description: partial 16S ribosomal RNA
Rfam family: Bacterial small subunit ribosomal RNA
Source: RNAcentral
AGCGAACGCUGGCGGCAGGCCUAACACAUGCAAGUUGAACGAUCCUUCGGGAUAGUGGCGGACGGGUGAGUAACACGUGGGAACGUGCCUUUUGGUUCGGAACAACUCAGGGAAACUUGAGCUAAUACCGAAUGUGCCCUUCGGGGGAAAGAUUUAUCGCCAUUAGAGCGGCCCGCGUCUGAUUAGCUAGUUGGUGAGGU